CCCUGAGGUAUAUGGUGUCUUAGUUCCCCAACCAGGGAUCGCACUUGCACCCCCUGCAUUGGAAGGCAAACUCUUAACCACUGAACUGCCAUGGAAGUUCCUGUUUGUUUUUAAAGUAUGAAAAAGUAUAAAACUAGCAUAUACACAAGCUAUCUAGUAUUGAUCAUUUUAGGAUCAUUCUUAAGAUUUUAAAUAAAAUACUAUAAACAAAGACAUACUUGAAUCAAUCACCUUGCCCAUUCCCCUCCCUAAGAAAUUAUGAGUUCAGUGUUGCCUUUUCUGUUUAUUUUUAUACUUAGGUAUUCAUAAACAAAAUAUAGUCAUUCAGAUGUUGAAAUCUGACACUUAUUUCAUUGGACUUUAUGCUUUGGGAUAGUCUUCUCUUAAUAGAUAAACUUAGUAUCUCUAUGUUUAUUAUCCUGGCAUGUAUAUUCCUGUCAUUGCAGUUGUUGGAGGAUGCAGGAACAAAUCUUGUCUUUCCUCCUUGUUCUUACAUUUAAAGCAGAUUUUAUCUUCCCCCGACCCCCCAACACACACACCCAUGACCAAAAGGUAAUGUUUCUAUCAUUCUGUUAUCAUCCUUAAUCUUACAAUGUACCUACACAUGAGAGCAUAUUGAUACUGAUAUUUAUAAAAUGGUCAAUUAGCUCAGUUUUUUCCUGAAUAAAACAAGUAUAUUUUUAUUUCCCUUCAAACUAUCUUUUCUGACCUAUUUUCCAUGUUAAUGUUAAAUAUUUGUUAUAACUUAUUUUUAAAACUCGUUAUUUUAAACAUGACUUACUGAUUUACUUGAUAAGUUUUGUCUAUUUACUUACUGUUUCUUGUUGAAUACUUCAAGAUGUUUUUGUACCAGAGUUUUCAGUGAAAAUCUAUGAACAGUAAGUUUUCUCUUUGUGGGCUGAAUGUCUUUUUUCCACACUGAUUUUAGAAAGCUAAAUUGUCUGGGUUUAGAAUUGUAGGUUCCCAGUUAUCUUUCUGUCGCAUCCUGUAGGUAUUCCAUUGUGUUCUGACAUCUUUUAUUGCUGAAGAAAGUUGGGUGUCAUUUUGAUUAUUUCUUUGAAGGAUGUACAUUUUUCCCUCUAAUAACUUCUGAGUUUCACUAAAAUCUAUCUAGGUGUGGAUUAAUUUCUAUUUGCUUUGCUUGGGAUUCACUGUAUUCCUUUAAAUUGAAAAUGCAUUUCUGGAAUUUUUAAUUUUUCCUUUAAAUAUAAUUGCUCUCUCAUUUUUUCUAUCUCCUUCUCAGCCUCCUAGAAGUUUGCAGCAGUCUACCCUCCAUACCAUCUCUUACAUCUAUCUCUUUACCCCCUCUGUGCUACAGUCUGGUAAUUUCCUUAGAUCUUCCAAUUCACUGAAUUUUCUGAGUCUAGUCCACUGUUUAACUGAACCUAGUUGUUAAUUUUGUUGAAUGGGACUCUUUCACAAUGCAGCUAGUAUGAAUUUGACUUCUGUGUUCACAUGCAGCAAAGAUUCUUGUUAGUGACUUUGUUUCCACCCAUGGCCUGGGAGGGAAAUCUUGCUUUCCUGCUGUGACCCUGAACUAGAGAUACCAAGUUUUCAGUCCUCCUACUGGGACAGAACUUUGCCCAUUCUAAGCAUACCCCAUCUCUACUUCUUACUAUCCAUUAUACCUGCAGCCUCAAUUCCUAACAUCUCUCUGCCCUGGCAUCUUUGGAACGCCAGUUCCUAAGACACAUCCAGUCCAGCCACCUCCAUUGGCCUUGCAGUGUCAGGUCCUUUGGGUUCCCUCUUCAUUUCUGCCACCUGGAGUUUUCCUCUUCUUCCUUGAACCUUUUUUUUUUUUUUUAAAUGGGGGGAAGAGAAGGUUUGCACUUGCAUACCCAUGUCUUUGGAGCAGGGAUAGCAGCUAUUCCCAUGUGUGUUCAUUCUGUGUCCAAAAAGAAUUGAGCACCAUUGGUAGUGUUCAUUCCAACUUCCUACUCAUACACACCCUGUGAGGCAAAUGGCAUCAUCUCCACUUUACUGGAGAUGAGAGUUAUUCACCCUUAGUCACUAAAGGUAGUCAGGAGCAGACUUAGAAUUGAAACUCAUUGCUGUGUUACUUAACCACUACUUUAUCUGCUUCACUGUAUUGACUAUUAACUCCAGUAUUUUUAUAUUACAUCCUUUUGCUCUCCAGGUUUGGACACUAAAGAGAACCUGUGUGUAAGCUGACUGAAUUUCAUCUGAAAAUGUCUCAGUGGUUGUUGCAUGGCACUUGUUUCUUCUUAGAGACUCUUCUCAUUUUCAUAUAAAAACCUUGGACUUCAUUCCUAAAUGCAACUAGUUUCUGGGAAAUAAUGAAGUUGUGUAAGGAUGGUACUGAGGCUGUAAGUUGUGUAAGGAUGGUCUUUCAGCCUCUUGUCUCCAAACUGCCUGUUGCUCCUCAGGAGAAUUAGACCCCAGUCUGACAGCACUUCUGUGAAUGGCAGGCACUGUCCCAGGCUAAAGGCAGUCUUUCUGACAAAAUACAGAAAUAGUGCUGACUCUCCCCCGCUCCCCCCCACAACAUGGCUAGCACCACACACUAUACUCACUCCUUUGCUAUUUGCGAGUUUAUUUAACAGCCUACCCAACUGUCUCCUUCCAUGGAAAGUAUUUUCUUCAUUGUCUUUUGGAAUGCAUUUGAAGCCACUUCUCUUAACCAAUAAAAACAGCUAGUUCUUCUAUUUUAGGGAACUUUAAUAUUCUUAUGUAGUUCACGUUGGAUAAAAUGUCUUGAAUGCAAGCAAGUUAUCUUUUUCCACUCUUUAUGCCAGACUUUUAAGAAAGAAUCUGUUUGUAUCUAAUUCUGCUUUGGCUGCUUCCUACUGCAGUGAGUAGCAAUUUUGGAUCAAGUUCCCAGUGGCAGCACUGUUGGGGGAAAUUCUGCAUUUUUGGGGAAUGACUGACAUCACUCCUGGUGCUGUUGGAUUCCACCCUGUUUUCUGGGAAUUUAUGACUGUGGCUCUGACUUAAAACACUUAAAUCUUCUGAAUCUCACCAAAGUUUUCGUUUUGUUUUGUUUUUUUCAAAUGCUCCUCAGACGUGGUUGUGUAGGAAAUUGCAGAUGUCAUACUCCCAACUAUAUAAAAGCUUUUUUACUAGUGAGGUUAAAGUACAAUGCAAUAAGUGGAUCAAAAGCACACUAAAACUCUCUUGCAUUGGUUCUGAAAAUCCUAGACCUCUAUAAGAGAUCCAGACCCACAGAGAGCCAUGGAGGUCCAUUAAAAAAAAUAAUUUGUAGUUGAUUUUUUUUUCAGCCUUCCAUUAUUCAUUGAUUCCCUUGAAUUCAGAAUAAGUUGCAGGCACUGUCCAACCUGCAUUUUAGAACUUAAUUGUAAAAGAAUGAUGGUCAUAACCUGUAGCUUAACGUAAGUAGAAAAUGAAAUCUCUUGAUGAAUUUUGUAAAUAUUUCCUGUAGGAACAAUGAUACAGAGGAAAGAGGUAGAUUUCCAGGCUAGCCUUCAAAGGCCUCUUAAACCAUAGUUAAGCAGCACUGCUUUUACAGAAAACGUAUCUUAGUAACCCUUCCCGGUUCCAGGCACCAGAGACUGCCCCCUCCCCCAGAUUGACCAUGUGUUCCAAAACUUUGAGACAGGCCAUCUGAGAACAGGGAUUGUAGCUUCUUUAAUAUCAGGGACUUAGUCCCCAUUCCCAGGGAGUUAUACAUGAGAGGUGGGGAAGAGACCUGGGAAAACCUCCAGAAGAACAAUGUGUACAAAGGCUCUGAAGUUAGUUGGCCAGGUAAAGCCACAGCCGGGAGGCCCUUCUGAAUGGGGAGGACUAGGAGAUCAAGUAGUGAAUGAAGCAAGUGGUAAGAAUUACACCUGAACAGAACGAAGAGGCAGCAGUAGGAGAGCAUCACUCACCCACACAGGUGCAACAGGGGCCCUGUCUACUGUGGCCACAACCAGCCCCUCGGACUCCCUGGGAAGUUUCCACUAGCUCUGUCCUCAAGGCUUUGCCACUCUCUGGACUCUCAGUUUUCAAUUUCACAGAUAUUCUAACCCUAAGAUAGUCACUCCUCUGUUGCUCACUUCCUUACCUCUGUCCUCAGGUUUGGCUCUUACUUGCUUUCCUCAGUUCAGAAAUCUUGCUGCCUAGUUGACUUCUAAGAAAGACUUCUUGCCCUUCCUCUUCUCUCAGGGCCCUCCCUCCCAUGCGCAUUUCCCUCCUGAUCAUGGGGUCCUCCCUCUACCCUUUUUAUCGAAGGGCCUCCCCACUCUACUGCAUCUGGGCCCUCCUCCCAGCUCUUUCUCACCCAGGGAACGCAGACCCUGUCUCUUCUGCCACCUCCGUGUGCUGCCUGCCCCUCAUUACUGUGCCUCUCCUCUUCGUCUGCUUCCUGCCAGCCUGCCUCCCUCCCAAGUUUGGGCCUCCUCCUGCCUCCACCCCUUCCUUUUGUGAGACUGCUCUCAAGUCAGCUUUUGCACUGUCCCCCUGCCCAUUCUCUCGAUUUCCUCUCCUCUCCCUAAUUUGAGGGAGUCCUUCCCGCCUGCCUACUUGGGCCUCGUGCUCAUGCUCUCGACUCUCUUCUCACCCUGGAGCACUUUUACCCACCUCCCCCACCCUGUCAUCUGACCUUUCUUUCCUGUCAGUCUUUCACCUGUCUUGUCACUGAGCUAAUGAUGAUCUUUCCUCUUCUGCAUCUGAAUCCUUCCCGUCCCUACCAUAGGCCCUUACCACCUCCUCCCCCAUUUCCUUCCUAUUUCUAACCUGCAUCUUUCCCCCAUUUUCAUUUCUCUCUCCCCACUUCCCCAGUUACAAAUCCUUCCCUCCCUUCCUGACCUAAGGACCAAGCCCCAGCCCUCACCCCCAUACCUUUUCUCCUUUUCCCUCCAUCCUGAGCCAGGGCCCCUUUUUUCCCUUUUUGGACCCCAUUUUCAUCCCCUGUGACCUUGACUGUAGGCUCAAAUCCCUCCUCCCCGUUCUUGAUUUCAGAAAUACUCCAACACCUUUCUUCAACCCCAGCCUUUAUUCCUCAUCUUCUUUCUUCCUACCCUAUUUCCCAGGGAUUCUUUAAACCCUUUACAUAUGAGACUGAAAAUAGCCAAAUGCUUAAAGAUGGAAAAUACAUAUACUAACAUCUUCAAACAUGCUUCUCCCUCUUCCUGAUCCCUCUUCCCCACAUCUAGUCAUGGCUGGUUUCAUUUUGUUCAGAUUUUAGGCUGAAAGUCACCUUGUAAGAGAAUCCUUCCUUCCCUGCCAUCUAAUAGAAAGGAGUCCCAAACCCCUAGCCACGUACCAUACUGGUUUUUGUUUUCUAAAGAAUAUUUAAUCCUGUGAAAUCUUUGUGUUUGUCCAUCUAGAAUUGAUGCCCCAUGAAAGAGGCCUUAACUGUUUUGUUCAUCUUGUAUCCUCUGUCACUGAAAUGCUGUGUGUGUGUCCGUGCUUCAUCCUGUCCAAUUCUUUGUGACCCUAUGGACUAUAGAGGCUGGAAGGGGACUGUAGCCCACCAGGUUCCUCUGUCUGGAUUUCCCAGAUAAGAAUACUGGGAUGGGUUGCCAUUGCCUUCUCCAAGGGAUCUUCCAGCUCCAGGGAUCGAACCUGUAUCUCCUGCAUUGCAGGUAGAUUCUUGAUUGCUGAGCCACCAGGGAAGCCAUUUAGAAUGGUACCUGGUACAUAAUGAGUCAGUCUGCUGAAUAAGUUAGUGAUUUCUGAGUGCCAGACACUAUGUCAAGUGCUCACUUUGUCUUGUUUAAUCUUUCCAACAAGGCUGAGGUAAGUAUUUUUAUUAUUGCUAUUUUAUACCUUAAAUAACUGAAAUGAAGAAAAGAUAAGUGAAUUUGUCUGUUUUCUCAAAACAGUUGGCUUAUCUGAGAAUUUAAUGCAAUCUGUAUGAAGUCACAACUCAUGUUCCUUCUACUUUUCUGAUGGUCCAGAGGAAAGGGACUGUUAGGAAGGGAAAGGAAGAUGGAUCUGAAUGCAAGAGACGUGUGGAAGACCUGAAGAGUUGCUGAAACAUGAAGAACAGGAGCCAGCAAAGCAAGGUGGCAGGACAGGUGUUCCAAGUGGAGGACGCCACACAAGCAGAGAUGCAGGUAAACACAUGAGCAGUGAAGACAAACAGUUUACUUCAACCUCUGAAUCACCUGCUUUUGCCCUGAACAUACUCCAGGGAAUACGGACUGAGAAGGAUACAGAUCUUUAUCAUUUAAUUAUUACAUAAGAAAGGAACCAUGGAUCCCAUCACUUCUCUACUGCUUUGGCCAAAAUGAAGAGUUCUACAGACUUUUUAAGUGUGAGAUUAAGUAGACCACUUGCAGAGCAUUCAGUAGAGUGCUCAGACCUUUUAUCCAGAUCACUGUCAUAACAGGUCAAAUAACAGUUGUUUGAGUAAUAAGGAACCAAGUAGUCAGAAUUAAAGCAGAUACUCAGGAACAAUUGGAGAAGAACAUCCGAAGACUUUGCUAUUUCCAUAGUAAAGUUAUUUGUGACAGGCAUGCUAGUUACCUACCUGAAACUCCUUCUCCUUUUCUUCAGUUAACAAACUUCUCAUUUUCUUAGGGGUAGUAACAUGCCCAGGUCAAAGACCUGGGCAUAUCCCCUUGAAGCUCAGAGUGCAACUUGAACCAAGCCUGGCCAGUAAAAGUGCAGAAGUUAUUGGGUGGAACCUCUGGAAAAACAUUCCAGAAGAAGCCAACUUGGAUAGACUCUGUCUUUCGUUUCUCUUCCUUUUCCCUACCUAGAACUGGGUAUCUGAUGCCCGGGUACACAGCAGCCAUCCUAGGACCAUGAGGAUGAAGACUAUAUACAAAGGAGGCAGAAUAGAAAGACUGAAGACUAGCUCUUGACUUACUACCUCUGGACUUACUGUUACAUGAGAAAAAAUAAAUUAUUUGAUUAAACUGCUGUGUUGCUUUUCAGGUAUAUGCAGCCGAACACAAUUUUAACAGGGCUAAAGUGGCAAUCACUGCUAAGACAUACAAACGGGUUCUUUAGCCAAAGACACAACUGAUAAUGCAGCAGUUCUACUGGGCUGGAUAUUCUCAUUACCCUGCAAACCCCUCUGAGCGUAGGGUUAUGAGGGAGUUAAUGCUGAAAAUUGGAUCAAAAAGGCAUUCUUCAAAUUGGAAUGCUUUUAUUAGAAUAUUAAUUGCAGACUUAAAACUACACAUAUGGAAAAAUGAAAACACUCAGAAAUGCUAUUACAAAUUGAGUAAAUUAGUAGGAGGAAAAAGAUUUCUUCAGUGUAUACAAAAUGUAAACAUUUGCCCUGGGGUUUCCCACAGAUGGCACAGUCCACAAGGACUUAUUUGGAAUAAAAAUACCUAUUGGAUCGCCAGUAUAGCCUCUAUAACAUCUUCAAACUUGCUACAUUGAAGUGAAAGUUACUAGCACACUCUGAAUCUUCUAUGCAAAAAAACUAAAUGGUCCCAAUCAAGGCAACUGCUGUGUGUGAAAGCAGAGACACUGAAGCAAAUCAAUCUUCCAGCGAUGACCUUCUACCCACUGUGCUAACUGUAUUUACAUUUACCUUGAGAGAAUAUACACAGUAUAUAAAACCCCUACUUGAGUCUGUGGUGGAAAAUGAAAUACGAGAUGCUCCAAAGCGCAUCAGGUCAGUCACUUGAACUUGGGGAGAGAACACUAAGAAGAGGCCCUCUUCUGUUCAGAAAAUGGGGACUCAUAAACAUCCAUGGGUGGACAGGUGCAAACCAGGUGCUGAUCUCCAUAGAUGUCAUCAAUGCGGGAGAUGGUUGGCCAGAAUUUGUUCUCUGGUUUCACAAAGGGCUGCAGGGGACAAAAGACAGAAAUGACUUGGGAUAUCCUGAGAAGUUUCUUGGAUGGGUGGGGUGGGGAGGAGACUGCAAUGCUGCUCCCACACCUGAGAGAUCACUGGCCCAGAAAGUACUCAAAAAUUAUAAGAAGCUAAAAUCCAGCCUCCUUCGUCACCAUCCCUCCAAAUCUCCCACCCCUGCUCCACCAGACUGCAGAGCAUCUUCACAUAAUUAAAAGGAUGAUGGUAGGAAACACUGACCCACUAGACAGACCCUUAUUUGGUCUUCCUGCACUGUGCGCAGGUUGGCACUGUGUGGUUGCCACCCUGACCUCAGAACUUGGAAAGCCAAUUCCUGUGUUGUGUCGUUCUGCGAAGGUAGCCUACAUAUGGUCACUACAGUGAGGAGGCGGCAAGAGCGGAGCCCUCAGAGUGGGUGAUGGCCCCUCAUACGCACGUGAACCUGGACCAGCUGGCACGUCCAGCUUCAGAGGAGCACUUACAAGCGGGAAUGCUGCCACCUCUCUGGAAUACGGCCGAUCCCAGUGGGAGGAUGUGACGCAGGUCAAGGAGUGUGGAGACAUCUGAGACAGAGACAAUGGACAGGAGAGGGGUCAGAGCAGAUGCCUGCCUUCCCCUCUGUUCAUCACAUCUGCCAGUGAGCUGAUGAAAGCCCACGGAUGGAGGGUGGUGGUUUUGUUUCAGUUUGUGGGGAAGGGAAUUUUGUUAGGAAAAUGUUUAUUGUGAAAUAUUUCGAAUAUCAGAAAGUUACAAUAACAUAAUAGCACAUUUACCACCCAACAGAAAUCAACAUUUUGUCAUGUUUGCUUAAGCUUUUAAAAUAAGAAACAUUACAGAUACUGUUGACCAUGCCAGCCUAUCCCCUCUCCAUCUUACUGCUGGUCCUCUUCACCAGUGCCAGCCACUAUCUUGAAUUUUGUUGUCAUGAUUCUCAUAUUUUUAUACUAUUACUGUAUAUAUUAAUAAACUGCAUAGAGCUUAGUUUGGUACACUUUUAAACCUUAUAGUAUCCUGUGUGUGUUUUAUCCUCCACUUGCUUUUGUAUCUCAGUAUUAUAUUUUUUAGACAUCUAUUGCCAUUUUUUAAAAAAAUUGUCUAAAUCCUGAAAGAAUCAUCAGUAUCCAGAGAAAAAAACAAUGAGAGCAAAUCAUAUUAGAUUCCUCCACUAUCCUAGGAGACUCGCACGGGACCAGCCUUUUCCUGCCAGUCAUUGGCCCCGGUGCUUCAGCGGGGCAGCUCUGGACUGAGCUCCUCUGUGCAUCUCAGACUGCUUCUCUGGCUUGGAGCCGUACGACACAACCACAGCCUUUGCGGUAGUUUCAGUUCACAAUCCCUCAGCUUAACAGUGGCUGGACCUAAUACAGAACUCUUAGGGCUCUGACCAGAUAUAAAAGGAACAUAGUUUUGAAGAGGCGAAGCAAUGUUGAACAAAUUUUUCUCCAAAGUAGGCCGUAAACAUGGUAAAAUAUUCAGGCCAAGUACCAGUCUGGUUGUUCUAAGAGGUAACUAUUCCAAUAUGAGAAUAUCUUUAUCCAGAGUGUAAAAGGUAAAUAAUCUCAGUAGAGAGCAUCAGAGAUACAGAAUGGUAAGACUUCUCUAGCUAUAAAGUCCAUCAGUCUCUGCUCCCUCCUUUGACAGCCAACUGGGUCCUUGUGGGGUGAACAGCACCAAACAGAUAUAUAAAACCAACAAGUGACCACUAAAUAGAUAUUUAAAAUUAGAACAUAUCAGAAAUAACCACAUUAUACUUGAGUAACCACUGCUGUGUUGAUUCAAGAUUUAAACUUUCAGGUAAUGAAUUUAUCCUCUCAGAAGAACAGUCUUAUUCUAGGCAAGGAUGUCAUCUUCCAGUCGAGUUCAGAGGUUGCCAGCACCCCACCCAGACACUGCUUUCUGCUCUCUGGGAUAUUUUAGAUAAAGAACCAGCGCCUGUGUACCUUCAGUGGGUUGACCCUGGGGUCGAUGCGGCCCUCCUCAAUGUCGGCAAUUUCCUGUCGGAUGCUGAUCAUGGCGUCGCAGAAUCUGUCCAGCUCCGCCUUGUCUUCCGACUCGGUGGGCUCAAUCAUGAGAGUGCCUGCCACCGGCCAGGACAUGGUGGGGGCAUGAAAUCCUGCCAAGGAGAUGGGGGAAUUUGUGUCACUUAACUUUGACCUCCCCAGUUUGGAAGAAGAGACCCUCCCCUUCUUAAAAUGUAUUCCAAGGAAAACAAUCUGAAAAAUUUGCUAUUGUAUAUGUCUAGGGAUUCACUUCAGCACUGUUUAUGGAAGAAAAGCUUAGGAAAUAACAUGACAUCCAACAGCAGAGGAUCAGGUAGGCAAAUCUUCCUGGGUAUCCAUACAAUAAAUAUGCAACCAUUCCAUGUAUUUAAAUUUAUAUUUGUUAAUGGCUCUGAACGUUUACCCAAUUUAAGUGAAAAGGGCAGGCUACAUAACGAUAUUGUCUUAUUUUUAAAAUGACAGUAUAUUAUAUAUGCAUAUAUAUAUAUACACACACACAUACAUUUGCAUGUGUGUAUAUAUACAUACUUUAUAUAUAUGUGUAUAUUUUAUGAAGGAAGCUGUUUCAAAGAAGAAUAAAUACUAAAAUUUAAACAGAAUUAUUGGCAUAAAAUGAGACUAGGGUUUUUAUUUUACCUUGUGUUUUAGAAUCUUUUUAUAAUGUUCAUGUAUUACUUGCAAUUAAGAGAAAUUAAAAUAUUGUAGCCUACCAAAAGCUAAAUAAUGAGGUAACAAGCAUUAAGGACCCUGAUGUGAGUGUUACUGUCCUUAUUUUACAGAUGAGGAAACUGAGUCUUGGCCAGGAUGUAUAAAGUCUUUGUCUUUACACUGAAUACAGGCUGAAGGUAUUUCUAUGUUUCCAAAAGUUUUCACAUAUUAAGAUGAAUUUAUAAAAUAUGAUUGAGAGAGAGAUUUCCUGGACAAAAGCCAAAAAGAACUUUUCCCCAAUUCUUACAAUUUUUCCGGUGAAACUUUAAAAGAUGAAGAACAGCCUCUAGGUUGAUAUUCCUGUCAACUAAGUUUGCCCUGGAGGUCAAUGGUUCCCAAAUUCUGGUGUGCAUCAUUACAUGGGGUGCUUUAGAGUCAUGCCUGCAUUGUUUAAAGGAUUGUCUUCUCAACAUUUUAUUAUAACAUUUUUCAAAUAUACUGGUAAGUUGAAAGGACUAUAGAGUGAACACCCAUACACCUACAUGGCUUCUACAAUGAUGCUCUGUUUGCUUUAUCAUGUAUCUAGUCAUCUAUUCCUAUCACAUAUCAGCUGGCAAAGAAUCCACCUGCAGUGUGGGAGACGGGUUCAAUCCCUGGGUUGGGAAGAUCCCCUGGAGGAGGGCAUGGCAACCCACUCCAGUAUUCUUGCCUGGAGAACCCCCAUGGACAGAGUCACCUGAUGGGCUACAGUCCAUGGGGUCACAAAGUGUCAGACAUGACUGAGUGACUAAGCACAGUCAUCUACUCCUAUCACAUAUCUAAGGCAUUUGCCUUAUUUUUGAUGCAUUUUCAAGCAUGUUACAGUCAUUUAUACCCUUCCCCCUUUAGCAUGCAUAUCAUUAACUAGAGUUCCAUAUCUGAAUUCAAUAUCUGUUUCCAUAUUUUUGUGAUAGUUUGCACAAAUUUUAAGUACCAUUUAAUUUUGACAAAUGCAUAUAACUGUGUCACCCAAAUCAGAAAGAGUCUUCUUUUUAAACAAGCUGAUCUCAUUACCCAUUAAGUCCAACCUCAAUUCCACGAGUGAACAAAUUCAGCCCAAUAUUUUCUACAAUAGUGGUUCCCAUAUCUGGAACCAUCUGAGUUGUCAUGGAAACACAGAUUCCUGGAUUUUGACUCUGAUUCAGGAAAUCCAAGGUAUGAGCCUUUAAAAACUCAGAAUCAGGUUAAUCACAGCACUGUUAAUCAACUAUACUCCAAUAUAAAAAUUCUUAAAAGUUAAAAAAACAAAGUUAAGUUUGGAAAUCUCUGCCCUCUGGCAGGGUGCCCUUCACACAACCUGAUAAGAUUCAUCCAUGAAGUACUUGUAAAUACAGAUCACUGUGCCUCAUCCCUGGAAUUCUGAUUCAGUAAGUGUGAUGAAGACCCAGAAUCUGUGUUGUCAUCUUCAUUGUUCGUUUGUUUCUAGAGCCAUUCACUUAUUCUCUCACUUGUUAAACACAAUUGUUGGGUGCUUCCUAUGUGCCAGACACCUAGACCAUCCUGAGCCUAUGGCAAGUGUAGCCAUCACUCUAUUAAACAUCAAAAUAUCAAGGAUGUAGACAGAACCGAAUUUGGGAAUACUGGGCAGUAACUCCAAAUACCACUUCUCUUCUACCCCAUCCCCCGCCUCCCUCCCUGCAAAUGCUGCUGCAGUCGGAUGUGGGAAACAGACCACACACCCCAGAAAUGAAGCCUCAGCCUGAAUCAGUUACUAGUCGGGAGGUUAAGUCAGGUCACAGGAGUGGUCAAGAGGAGAUUCUUAAGCAACUGCUAAUUUCAUUAAUGAAAACCAUCUUUGGUUCUCCCAUUUAUUAUCAGGGUAACUCUGCAUAAUAAGAUCAUUCAUUCAUGGGAGGAAAUGAGUCACUAUGUGACUAUGUGGGACUCCUGUUAUGGUAGUAAAACUAUAAAAUUAUUAAAGUUUUCACAUUCCUUAUUAAAAGAAGUCAUUCAAAUCAUCUUAAAAUUCAGAUAAGACUCCACAUUCAUCAAAAGGCAAAGUUCUCCCCAACUUAGCCUUCCUGAGAAAUGAAGAGUCUUUGGUGUUAUUAAUGUCACUAAGAAAACGUAUUUUAAUAAAGCCUGUGCUGAGUGAACGUCCACUAACAAUACACAGAUUAAAAAAAAAAAGCUUCAAAGAAAACUGCAUCAUCUCUGUGAAAACAAGGUGCACCUAUUCCUUCAUCUCCAGCAGCAGCUGAAACAGUUAUGCCACAGCUGAGGGGGCUCAAUGGCCAUGAAUCUCAAAUGCCAUUCCUCCAAUACUCCUACACGUUGUAGGCUCUCCACUGCCUCUACCAUCACAGCAACUUACCUCUUCAUGGCCCUCUCUGUCUAUUUGGAGUGGGAUAGGUCAAAUAAUUUACCAGAAACAUGGACAGAAGACAGCAGUCAUUUUCUUUGGGAUUUUAAAUUUUGUUAACAACAAAGACUCCUUUCCUAGCUGUUGAUGGAUUCAAGAUACGUGAUUUAAUAUCUUUCAAAGGACAGAAUCUGUGGGGCCAUAGGGCCAUAGUUUUUUUUUUUACCCACAGUCUACGGCUCGCCAUUUAGCCUAUGGAUCAGUUUACUGUGGUGCAAACACAUUCAGUCUGUGGUCCAUAACCAGGAUGGGCAGCUGCAUAAAUGUCAGAAACCCAAGUUCUCCUUAAGGGGGGUCUUUCCUGUGAGACCACUCACCAUAAUCUUGAAGCCUCUUGGCCACAUCCACGGCCUCAAUAUUUGCAGACUUUUUGAAGGGUCUUGUAUCCAAAAUAAAUUCAUGAGCCACAUAUCCUGUUGAGAAAAAUUAUUUCCAUUCACGAUUAACAUCAGCUUGUUGUUUUACCCAAGAAAAUGAACAAAUAAAUCAGCUUUUUAAUGCAUAUCAUUGAGGACCAAGGAACAAUGGGUACUUGGUAAGUUAUAGUUGACAAUAAAGCCUUCAUCUGCUCUUAUUACAUAUAAAAACUGUUAACAUGUCAUGCCAAUUUGUUCCAUCCUCAGUGUUCUACACACCCAUGAACCAGGAAGCGGGUGGCAGGCAGGACAGGAACUGGAAGGCUUACUAAGGUCCCUGGGGAUGAGACCACUUUUACUCAAAAGACCAAAUAUCUACUUGCAACAGUUUAACAUGUCAUCAUGCCUGGUCCUUAUUCAAAAUUUUAUUUUAUAUAUAUAUAUUUUAUUUUAUAUAAAAUAUUUCUAGUGUUAAAACUCCAUUGAUAGAUUUUUCAACAAGUUUGCUACCAAUAUCCAAUUAAUGGUUUCUUCCAUGGGCAGGUAAAUGUAUAUUAAAUGUAUAUGUA
Bubalus bubalis (water buffalo) is the source of this 13691-nucleotide long non-coding RNA. RefSeq lists it as uncharacterized. The transcript is spliced from 2 exons. The record is from RefSeq and is a predicted model, not a curated record. NCBI's taxonomy places the organism in Eukaryota, Metazoa, Chordata, Mammalia, Artiodactyla, Bovidae.